AGUGAACGCUGGCGGUAGGCCUAACACAUGCAAGUCGAACGGCAGCACAGUAAGAGCUUGCUCUUACGGGUGGCGAGUGGCGGACGGGUGAGGAAUACAUCGGAAUCUACUUUUUCGUGGGGGAUAACGUAGGGAAACUUACGCUAAUACCGCAUACGACCUACGGGUGAAAGCAGGGGAUCUUCGGACCUUGCGCGAUUGAAUGAGCCGAUGUCGGAUUAGCUAGUUGGCGGGGUAAAGGCCCACCAAGGCGACGAUCCGUAGCUGGUCUGAGAGGAUGAUCAGCCACACUGGAACUGAGACACGGUCCAGACUCCUACGGGAGGCAGCAGUGGGGAAUAUUGGGAAAUGGGCGCAAGCCUGAUCCAGCCAUACCGCGUGGGUGAAGAAGGCCUUCGGGUUGUAAAGCCCUUUUGUUGGGAAAGAAAAGCAGCAGGUUAAUACCCCGCUGUUCUGACGGUACCAAAAGAAUAAGCACCGGCUAACUUCGUG
Molecule: ribosomal RNA, 492 nt
Filed under: uncultured bacterium
Lineage: Bacteria
Description: partial 16S ribosomal RNA
Rfam family: Bacterial small subunit ribosomal RNA
Source: RNAcentral